Molecule: transfer RNA, 73 nt
Filed under: Pseudomonadota bacterium
Lineage: Bacteria; Pseudomonadati; Pseudomonadota
Also listed under: 2 other names
Description: tRNA-Val
Rfam family: tRNA
About the family: Transfer RNA (tRNA) molecules are approximately 80 nucleotides in length. Their secondary structure includes four short double-helical elements and three loops (D, anti-codon, and T loops). Further hydrogen bonds mediate the characteristic L-shaped molecular structure. tRNAs have two regions of fundamental functional importance: the anti-codon, which is responsible for specific mRNA codon recognition, and the 3' end, to which the tRNAs corresponding amino acid is attached (by aminoacyl-tRNA synthetases). tRNAs cope with the degeneracy of the genetic code in two manners: having more than one tRNA (with a specific anti-codon) for a particular amino acid; and 'wobble' base-pairing, i.e. permitting non-standard base-pairing at the 3rd anti-codon position.
Source: RNAcentral
GGGCGGGUAGCUCAACGGCCAGAGCACUCGCCUUACACGCGAGGGGUUCGGGGUUCGAAUCCCCGCCCGCCCA